AGUGGCAGACGGGUGAGUAACACGUGGGAACGUACCUUUCGGUUCGGAAUAAUUCAGGGAAACUUGGACUAAUACCGGAUAAGCCCUUCGGGGAAAGGAUUUAUCGCCGAUAGAUCGGCCCGCGUCUGAUUAGCUAGUUGGUGAGGUAAUGGCUCACCAAGGCGACGAUCAGUAGCUGGUCUGAGAGGAUGAUCAGCCACAUUGGGACUGAGACACGGCCCAAACUCCUACGGGAGGCAGCAGUGGGGAAUAUUGGACAAUGGGCGAAAGCCUGAUCCAGCCAUGCCGCGUGUGUGAUGAAGGCCUUAGGGUUGUAAAGCACUUUUGCCGGGAAUGAUAAUGACUGUACCGGAAGAAUAAGCCCCGGCUAACUUCGUGCCAGCAGCCGCGGUAAUU
RNAcentral lists this ribosomal RNA (396 nucleotides) under Aeromonas salmonicida subsp. salmonicida 01-B526. RNAcentral's name for it is "bacterial SSU rRNA". It matches the Rfam family "Bacterial small subunit ribosomal RNA", at positions 94 to 525 of the family's 1533-position model. The record is from RNAcentral. Lineage: Bacteria; Pseudomonadati; Pseudomonadota; Gammaproteobacteria; Aeromonadales; Aeromonadaceae.